Molecule: ribosomal RNA, 433 nt
Filed under: uncultured bacterium
Lineage: Bacteria
Description: partial 16S ribosomal RNA
Rfam family: Bacterial small subunit ribosomal RNA
Source: RNAcentral
AACGAACGCUGGCGGCAUGCCUAACACAUGCAAGUCGAACGAGACCGUCGGGUCUAGUGGCGCACGGGUGCGUAACGCGUGGGAACCUGCCCUUAGGUUCGGAAUAACUCCCCGAAAGGGGUGCUAAUACCGGAUAAUGUCUUCGGACCAAAGAUUUGUCGCCUUUGGAUGGGCCCGCGUUGGAUUAGCUAGUUGGUAGGGUAAAAGCCUACCAAGGCGACGAUCCAUAGCUGGUCUGAGAGGAUGAUCAGCCACACUGGGACUGCGACACGGCCCAGACUCCUACGGGAGGCAGCAGUAGGGUAUAUUGGACAAUGGGCGCAGGCCUGAUCCAGCCAUGCCGCGUGAGUGAUGAAGGCCUUAGGGUUGUAAAGCUCUUUUACCCGGGAUGAUAAUGACAGUACCGGGAGAAUAAGCUCCGGCUAACUCCGUG